RNAcentral lists this long non-coding RNA (315 nucleotides) under Elaeis guineensis (African oil palm). Its description in RNAcentral is "long non-coding RNA (EGUI_LNC026614)". The record is from RNAcentral. Lineage: Eukaryota; Viridiplantae; Streptophyta; Magnoliopsida; Arecales; Arecaceae.
AGGCGUGAGCUGUGGGUUCUAGGGUUUCAUCUCUAGAUUUUGUCAGAAAAAAAAUACAAAAGUAAGUCUUAUCUAAUCUUUCACACCACCACCUUCUCAUAAAGUUUUAUCUUUUGAUCUGAAGGAGUCUAAAAAAUUCGAAGAAAGGAGCUUGGAUCAGCCAUCCAGAGCCUUCGAUGCGAGCUAGCACUCUCGUGAAGGAAGAUUCGAUCAGAGCUUCGAGUGGAUUAUCUAUAGAGGUCGAACGAUCUGUGUAGCUACUCGAUAUCAGUGAGAGCUUUGUACCAUACUUAUCAGUAGUGAAGAUCAUCGAUC